AUUGAACGCUGGCGGCAGGCUUAACACAUGCAAGUCGAGCGGAGAUGAGGUGCUUGCACCUUAUCUUAGCGGCGGACGGGUGAGUAAUGCUUAGGAAUCUGCCAUUUAGUGGGGGACAACAUUCCGAAAGGAAUGCUAAUACCGCAUACGUCCUACGGGAGAAAGCAGGGGAUCUUCGGACCUUGCGCUAAAUGAUGAGCCUAAGUCGGAUUAGCUAGUUGGUGGGGUAAAGGCCUACCAAGGCGACGAUCUGUAGCGGGUCUGAGAGGAUGAUCCGCCACACUGGGACUGAGACACGGCCCAGACUCCUACGGGAGGCAGCAGUGGGGAAUAUUGGACAAUGGGCGGAAGCCUGAUCCAGCCAUGCCGCGUGUGUGAAGAAGGCCUUUUGGUUGUAAAGCACUUUAAGCGAGGAGGAGGCUACUAGUACUAAUACUACUGGAUAGUGGACGUUACUCGCAGAAUAAGCACCGGCUAACUCUGUGCCAGCCGCCGCUGUAA
This 501-nucleotide ribosomal RNA is filed under the name uncultured bacterium. Its description in RNAcentral is "partial 16S ribosomal RNA". It matches the Rfam family "Bacterial small subunit ribosomal RNA", at positions 30 to 523 of the family's 1533-position model. The record is from RNAcentral.